CCCAGGUCAGGCGGGGCUACCCGCUGAAUUUAAGCAUAUCAAUAAG
This 46-nucleotide ribosomal RNA is filed under the name Saponaria glutinosa. RNAcentral describes it as "partial 28S ribosomal RNA". The record is from RNAcentral. Lineage: Eukaryota; Viridiplantae; Streptophyta; Magnoliopsida; Caryophyllales; Caryophyllaceae.